GACGAACGCUGGCGGCGUGCCUAAUACAUGCAAGUAGAACGCUGAAGCGAGGAGCUUGCUCUUCUUGGAUGAGUUGCGAACGGGUGAGUAACGCGUAGGUAACCUGCCUUGUAGCGGGGGAUAACUAUUGGAAACGAUAGCUAAUACCGCAUAACAAUGGAUGGCACAUGUCAUUUAUUUGAAAGGGGCAAUUGCUCCACUACAAGAUGGACCUGCGUUGUAUUAGCUAGUAGGUGAGGUAAUGGCUCACCUAGGCGACGAUACAUAGCCGACCUGAGAGGGUGAUCGGCCACACUGGGACUGAGACACGGCCCAGACUCCUACGGGAGGCAGCAGUAGGGAAUCUUCGGCAAUGGGGGCAACCCUGACCGAGCAACGCCGCGUGAGUGAAGAAGGUUUUCGGAUCGUAAAGCUCUGUUGUAAGUCAAGAACGGGUGUGAGAGUGGAAAGUUCACACUGUGACGGUAGCUUACCAGAAAAGGACGGCUAACUACGU
This 496-nucleotide ribosomal RNA is filed under the name uncultured bacterium. RNAcentral's name for it is "partial 16S ribosomal RNA". It matches the Rfam family "Bacterial small subunit ribosomal RNA", at positions 28 to 506 of the family's 1533-position model. The record is from RNAcentral.